Molecule: ribosomal RNA, 436 nt
Filed under: Escherichia coli
Lineage: Bacteria; Pseudomonadati; Pseudomonadota; Gammaproteobacteria; Enterobacterales; Enterobacteriaceae
Description: bacterial SSU rRNA
Rfam family: Bacterial small subunit ribosomal RNA
Source: RNAcentral
GAAGUUUUCAGAGAUGAGAAUGUGCCUUCGGGAACCGUGAGACAGGUGCUGCAUGGCUGUCGUCAGCUCGUGUUGUGAAAUGUUGGGUUAAGUCCCGCAACGAGCGCAACCCUUAUCCUUUGUUGCCAGCGGUCCGGCCGGGAACUCAAAGGAGACUGCCAGUGAUAAACUGGAGGAAGGUGGGGAUGACGUCAAGUCAUCAUGGCCCUUACGACCAGGGCUACACACGUGCUACAAUGGCGCAUACAAAGAGAAGCGACCUCGCGAGAGCAAGCGGACCUCAUAAAGUGCGUCGUAGUCCGGAUUGGAGUCUGCAACUCGACUCCAUGAAGUCGGAAUCGCUAGUAAUCGUGGAUCAGAAUGCCACGGUGAAUACGUUCCCGGGCCUUGUACACACCGCCCGUCACACCAUGGGAGUGGGUUGCAAAAGAAGUAG